GCCCCAGUGGCCUAAUGGAUAAGGCACUUGCCUCCUAAGCCAGGGAUUGUGGGUUCAAGUCCCAUCUGGGGUG
This 73-nucleotide transfer RNA is filed under the name Danionella translucida. It matches the Rfam family "tRNA". From Rfam's summary of the family: Transfer RNA (tRNA) molecules are approximately 80 nucleotides in length. Their secondary structure includes four short double-helical elements and three loops (D, anti-codon, and T loops). Further hydrogen bonds mediate the characteristic L-shaped molecular structure. tRNAs have two regions of fundamental functional importance: the anti-codon, which is responsible for specific mRNA codon recognition, and the 3' end, to which the tRNAs corresponding amino acid is attached (by aminoacyl-tRNA synthetases). tRNAs cope with the degeneracy of the genetic code in two manners: having more than one tRNA (with a specific anti-codon) for a particular amino acid; and 'wobble' base-pairing, i.e. permitting non-standard base-pairing at the 3rd anti-codon position. Lineage: Eukaryota; Metazoa; Chordata; Actinopteri; Cypriniformes; Danionidae. RNAcentral also lists the same sequence under 1 other name. The record is from Rfam by way of RNAcentral.